RNAcentral lists this ribosomal RNA (254 nucleotides) under uncultured bacterium. Its description in RNAcentral is "partial 16S ribosomal RNA". It matches the Rfam family "Bacterial small subunit ribosomal RNA", at positions 524 to 776 of the family's 1533-position model. The record is from RNAcentral.
GACGAGCCUCACGAACGUUAUUCGGAAUUACUGGGCGUAAAGCGCGCGCAGGCGGCUCUUUAAGUCCGUAGGUGAAAGACCGGGGCUCAACCCCGUGUCAGCCAUGGAUACUGGAGGGCUGGAGACAGGUAGAGGCAAGCGGAAUUCCGGGUGUAGCGGUGGAAUGCGUAGAGAUCCGGAAGAACACCGGAGGCGAAGGCGGCUUGCUGGACCUGGUCUGACGCUGAGGCGCGAAAGCGUGGGGAGCGAACAGG